CAUCUAUACAGAGACACACCUAUCGCACAGCUGAUGUAUAAUGCCAGCUAUAUCAUCCCUUGAUGCGUCAGGUGCCUGUGGGUGUAUCCCUUGUUUCAGAAAUUUGGUAUGACAAGAGCACAAGUGGAGUCCGCCACAACAGUGACAACAGCUUUAGCGAGACCGACUGGAGCGUCAACGACACCAAACUCCGGUCAAUAAGCAGCAAAGGGGACGAAGCAACUCGCAUCAGCAGCAGUGAACACAGACGCACAAUAAACCACCCCUUUGUGAUUCCUUCUACUCCCUUUUGCAAUACUCUAGUAUUGCAUUCUUCCAGGCGUCUUCACUUUCCUGAGACAUUUGCGCUAACCUCUCCGAACCGGCGCCAGCAGUCUUGGGAUCUUCAGAAUGCUGGUAAAAUGAUAGGCUAGUGCUCUGAAUCUACGGUUUCUCCGACGAGCUGUUCACUGCGAACGGGAUCUCCAGAGGAAAGUUAUCUAUUGCUUCAUCUUCAUAGAAGAGGAAAACCAAAACCGUUUAGUUUGUUCUGUACAGAGUAAGAAGCGCAAGCGUGUCGCGAAGAACAGUUAUUCCCGAAAGGAUAACACUGAAGAAGAAAAGCUGGACUGUACAUGAAGCCCUGCUGCACUCUGUUGCUCCCCCAGAGGUGGACGGCCUGAUCCAGCCUGCUGCGCCCAUGGCCUGAGCUCCAGGGCUGUUUGGCUUGGCAGCGUCCUGUAUUUGAUCAGCCUGUUUGCCCAAUCCACCCCUCAUUCAGUGCCCUCUUCUCAGCCUCUCCAGACCCUCUCUGUCUCUGUGUACUUUUUCUUCUUUACUUAAAAUACAAGAUGCUUUGUGAUUAGUUGUGUUGCAAAAUGACUUCAUUAGGAGGAUACAUCCCACUCAGAGGACCAUCUGUUUGAUCUGUACUCAGGGUAUUUUAGUAUUUAUACUUAAAGGACUUAAGUAUUGUUUAUUAGUCAUAAACUCUUCCUGAUUUCAGCCAAGAUACAGAUUUAGUAAUCUAUAUCUUUAUGUUCAUCUUAAUGAUCAAAUAUGUGAUUUCAGGCAAGUAUAAAUGAUAUGCCUCUCUGUUUCACUUUCUUGCUGGAGCUCCUUUAGAU
Electrophorus electricus (electric eel) is the source of this 1106-nucleotide non-coding RNA. NCBI's taxonomy places the organism in Eukaryota, Metazoa, Chordata, Actinopteri, Gymnotiformes, Gymnotidae. The record is from RefSeq and is a predicted model, not a curated record.